This is an RNA transcript of Pseudopipra pipra, 1337 nucleotides long. It is a transcript of the gene named GPN-loop GTPase 1-like, with no coding region annotated. Lineage: Eukaryota; Metazoa; Chordata; Aves; Passeriformes; Pipridae. The record is from RefSeq and is a predicted model, not a curated record. The transcript is spliced from 2 exons.
CUGGGAUCGGUUUGGGAAAAUCCUGUGAAAUUCUAAAAAGCUUCUCUCCGUGUUUUCUAGUUGUUUUUUCAGCCUUGGUCUAAGUUUCAUGUAGAAAAGGGCACAGAAUUAGAACAGGUAAACUAGACUUUCUCGGGAGAGAUGGAAGAAAAGUCUACUGAUUCCGGUUCUGCUUUUCUUGUCUUCUAUUAGACUGUCAUUUUCUCUCCCCUGCUGUUCAAAUAGGCAGCAAUUAAUUGCUCUGCUGGAGAGUUUGCUGUACUAAGUGUCUGUCAAAUCGAUGCCUUCAACUCAAGAUAGCACCUGCUCCUUAGUUACAAAACGUUCCUCACAGGAAAUUUUCAGGCGUGCCCAUAAAUCUCAUCCCUGUUUGUAUGGGAGAACAGGGUUUUCUCGUCUGUAACAGAAUAGUCAUGGCAUUUGCUAUUGAAUGCUGGUGGCAAUCUAGUCAGAAGAGGACCCCGUGCUUCACUAAUUUUCCCUUUUUGUUGUUCGCAGUGACUUCUUCCCAGGGAUGUUAUUCUUGACCCCCCGGGGCAAACGGAGGUGUUCACCUGGUCAGCGUCAGGAGCCAUCGUACCUGAGGCCCUGGCUCCCUCUUUCCCUUCGGUUGCCGUGGAUGUGCCGGACGGCUCUGGCAGGACUAACCCUGUGGCUUUUAUGUCCCACGUGCUGUGUGCGUGCAGGUAAGAAAAGCUGGGAGUGCAGUCCCUCUGCUUUGCUUGCUGUGUCUCAACAGGUUUUCCAGCCAAGAAGAACAAGGAGAGAGAUGAGGGAAUCGGGUUCCAAUUCCUAAUGAUUUGGUGGGUGCAGGAAUGAUUUCUGUGUGUUUUCCAGUCCCUUUUGAUUCCUGAGAUGAUUUUAAAAUGAUGGCUUUAGCAAUCAACUAAAUCGGAGCUGUUGUUUUUGAGAGGAAAUGAUGCCAAAUAAAUGCAGAGUUUUGGGUCAGUUUUUGGGAUGAUUUGGGUCAGUUUUUGGGGUCAGUUUGGGGUCAUUGUUUGGGGUGAUUUGGGUCAGUUUUGGGUCAGCUUUUGGGAUGAUUGGGGUCAGUUUUGGGUCAGCUUUUGGGAUGAUUGGGGUCAGGUUUUGGGGUCAGUUUUGGGUCAGCUUUUGGGGUGAUUUGGGUCUGUUUUGGGUCAAUUUUUGGGGAGCACUGGGUGUUACUGGGGGUUGUUUGGGAGCACUGGGUGUUUACUGGGGAGCACUGGGUGUUACUGGGGGUUGUUGAGGAGCACUGGGUGUUACUGGGGAGCACUGGGAGAGAAAAUGAAAAAUAAAGAGAAUAAAAAAUAAACGAAAUAAAAAAGGAAAUAUAAAAAUCAAAAGAAAAUUAAAAA